AUUAACAAAUAAAAAAAAAGAAAAGAAAAAGCUAUCAUUUUUCUCUUCCCCUUCACCGAAAUAUGCAGCAAAGAAAGAGUUUUGAAGCUGGAAAAUUUCAGCAACAUAUUUCCCUUGCUUAUGAUGAAAAUUGAGACUUGGACCUAGAACGGAAAGAAAUCGAUUUAUGGACGAGUAUGUCCUUUUCACAUUUGUGGUAUCGAGAGUUUCCAGGUUAGCUCGGGUUGGAGGCCGUCAGAGAUAUUAUCACCCUAUCGAGUUAACGUUAUCGGAGUAAGUAAACUCAAGUGAUUCGAGUCUAUGGCAUGUAUAGGGUUUUAAUGUGUGAGUAUGUAAUAUUAUGAUUUAGCCAAAGGCAUUGGCUUGUUAUUAAGGUAGUAUUAGUCAUGUAAAUUGGCCUAUGUCGGCUAAUGACAUUAUGGGCCCAUAUGAUUAUUCUUAUGCAAGUAUGUUAUUAUCUCUUGUGAUGUGGCUUACAACAUGUAUGCCUAGAGAUUGAAUUGAGAUUCAUUGAUGAGCUAGUAACUAAUGCAGGAUUAAGUGAUUGGUAAAUAGUUAAUAA
Long non-coding RNA from Gossypium arboreum, 562 nucleotides. RefSeq lists it as uncharacterized. The record is from RefSeq and is a predicted model, not a curated record. NCBI's taxonomy places the organism in Eukaryota, Viridiplantae, Streptophyta, Magnoliopsida, Malvales, Malvaceae. The transcript is spliced from 3 exons.